CCUUUGCUAUCAGUGGGAAUGGGAACCAAAGCAACAAAAAGGUUAAUUUUAAAUUUGCAUGUUAGUAUGGUCCCUGCACAAGGGUGACAUGCAAAAUCAUGAAGCAUUCCAUAUUUUU
This 118-nucleotide small nuclear RNA is filed under the name Lonchura striata (white-rumped munia). The record is from RNAcentral. Lineage: Eukaryota; Metazoa; Chordata; Aves; Passeriformes; Estrildidae.